This 422-nucleotide ribosomal RNA is filed under the name uncultured bacterium. Its description in RNAcentral is "bacterial SSU rRNA". It matches the Rfam family "Bacterial small subunit ribosomal RNA", at positions 355 to 774 of the family's 1533-position model. The record is from RNAcentral.
UAAGGAAUAUUGGUCAAUGGACGCAAGUCUGAACCAGCCAUGCCGCGUGGAGGAUGAAGGUCCUCUGGAUUGUAAACUUCUUUUAUCUGGGACGAAACACUUCUUUUCUAAGAGGCCUGACGGUACCAGAUGAAUAAGCACCGGCUAACUCCGUGCCAGCAGCCGCGGUAAUACGGAGGGUGCAAGCGUUAUCCGGAUUCACUGGGUUUAAUGGGUGCGUAGGUGGGUAUGUAAGUCAGUGGUGAAAUCCCCGAGCUUAACUUGGGAACUGCCAUUGAUACUAUAUAUCUUGAAUACCGUAGAGGUAAGCGGAAUAUGUCAUGUAGCGGUGAAAUGCUUAGAUAUGACAUAGAACAACAAUUGCGAAGGCAGCUUACUAUGCGGUGAUUGACACUGAGGCACAAAAGCGUGGGUAGCAAACA